UGGGGAAUAUUGCACAAUGGGGGAAACCCUGAUGCAGCGACGCCGCGUGAAGGAAGAAGUAUUUCGGUAUGUAAACUUCUAUCAGCAGGGAAGAAAAUGACGGUACCUGACUAAGAAGCCCCGGCUAACUACGUGCCAGCAGCCGCGGUAAUACGUAGGGGGCAAGCGUUAUCCGGAUUUACUGGGUGUAAAGGGAGCGUAGGCGGUUCAGCAAGUCAGAAGUGAAAGCCCGGGGCUCAACUCCGGGACUGCUUUUGAAACUGUUGAACUAGAUUGCAGGAGAGGUAAGUGGAAUUCCUAGUG
RNAcentral lists this ribosomal RNA (303 nucleotides) under uncultured bacterium. RNAcentral's name for it is "bacterial SSU rRNA". It matches the Rfam family "Bacterial small subunit ribosomal RNA", at positions 355 to 675 of the family's 1533-position model. The record is from RNAcentral.